GUGCUCACUUCAGUAACAUAUAUACCAGAAUUGGAACAACACAGAGGCGAUUCGCAUGGCCCCCACGCAGGAGUGACACACACAUUCGUGAAGCGUGACAUGUUUGU
Molecule: small nuclear RNA, 107 nt
Organism: Piliocolobus tephrosceles (Ugandan red Colobus)
Lineage: Eukaryota; Metazoa; Chordata; Mammalia; Primates; Cercopithecidae
Source: Ensembl